RNAcentral lists this transfer RNA (76 nucleotides) under Lesueurigobius friesii (Fries's goby). Its description in RNAcentral is "tRNA-Lys". It matches the Rfam family "tRNA". Rfam says of the family: Transfer RNA (tRNA) molecules are approximately 80 nucleotides in length. Their secondary structure includes four short double-helical elements and three loops (D, anti-codon, and T loops). Further hydrogen bonds mediate the characteristic L-shaped molecular structure. tRNAs have two regions of fundamental functional importance: the anti-codon, which is responsible for specific mRNA codon recognition, and the 3' end, to which the tRNAs corresponding amino acid is attached (by aminoacyl-tRNA synthetases). tRNAs cope with the degeneracy of the genetic code in two manners: having more than one tRNA (with a specific anti-codon) for a particular amino acid; and 'wobble' base-pairing, i.e. permitting non-standard base-pairing at the 3rd anti-codon position. The record is from RNAcentral. Lineage: Eukaryota; Metazoa; Chordata; Actinopteri; Gobiiformes; Gobiidae.
CGCUAAGAAGCUAAGACGGGCCUAUAGCGUUAGCCUUUUAAGCUAAAGACCGGUGUUUCCCAACCACCCUUAGCGG